This is a long non-coding RNA of Triticum aestivum (bread wheat), 389 nucleotides long. RefSeq lists it as uncharacterized. NCBI's taxonomy places the organism in Eukaryota, Viridiplantae, Streptophyta, Magnoliopsida, Poales, Poaceae. The transcript is spliced from 2 exons. The record is from RefSeq and is a predicted model, not a curated record.
UCCACUAGCUUCCACGGGCUUCAGAACCCUCGAGGCCCCCCUCGAGGAAUUGGUCGCCCGACUCGACUGGACACGCCGCCGCUCGACUCAGACACGCCGCCGCGACUCCUCCCCAAGUCGCCUCGACGCCGGCGAUCUCCUCCGGCAUACUAGACUUCUCCCCGGUGAUUCUUGAGGUUUCAAGUCUGUUGGAGGAAGGCUCGUCCGUCAUCAAGAGGAACUCGCUGUCAAUUCAUCUGUAGGACAACAUCAUUCUCACCCUUGCUUGGUCUGUAAAAAUAUAAUUGAUUGUGAGCUAUGAGAGAUUAUGUUGCUGUGAUGUGAUUGAUAUUGCCGUGAUGAGAUACUGAUUCCAAGUCAAGAUGUGAAGAACUGCUGUCACAUUUUUA